ACCUUGAACACUUCCAGAGAUGGGGUAUCAACAACCUCCCUGGGCAACCUGUGUCAGUAAAUAAUUUUACCAACCUCACCAACCUUCACAGUAAAUAAUUUCUUCUGAAUAUCCAAUCUAAAUCUACCUUCUUUCAUCUUAAAGUAAUUCUGCUUGUUCUAAAUGCCACAGGAAGGGCUUUGGUGCCAGCGUGGUCUGCAGCUCUGGGAUAGCACCAUACUGAGGAUCACAGCCCAACUCUGACAAGGAUAAGCAACAACUCCUAAGAAAAUCAGCCAGUAUCAUGUGUCAGGGGAUGGGAAAACCUUCAAGGAUUGGGGUGGCACAAACAUGUAAGGAGAUCAGAGUCUUAAGCUGCCUUUCAUUCAGUGCUCAUUCAGAUUACUAUUUUUUGGCAGAAGUAGCUCAGAUUAAAGACAACCAUUCCUGAAUGCUUUUAAAGAAAUAAAUGGCUGUCUAUGCAUACCUAGCUCUCACCUCUCCUUGAAAUGCUACUGCAGUUCCUCAGUCUCUAUGGAUAUAUGAAUUAUUAGUCUAUUUCUCCAAUGUGAUCUUGGAUGACAAAUAUUCCUAGGCGCUGAAUGGCAAUUUUGUAAUGAAAGUUACACUAGAAUAGGCCAGGAACCAAACAGUACCCAUUAAGGUUUGCUUUUAUGUAACCACCAUUCAAAAGCAGUCAUCCAGCCUUUGGGUGAUAACAGUUUUCCACCUCAGUUAUGCCCAGUUCAACAACCUGGUUGUCUAAAAUAAACCCUAAAUUUCCUCCUCUUUCUAUUUGAAUCCCAUUUUCCUCUCUGCAUUCAGUUCACAUUCUUUUUCUUUCAGAGCUUUCAGAGCGUUUAUGGCUUCAGAAGCCUCUUCAGUUUAUCGCAGUGACUUCCCAAAUAGUGCAAAGUCACCUGCUGAUUUUCCCCAGACCAGGAGACCUCUUUUUGUCCUAAUCAGCUCCCAGCAUGUGCAUGGUGUCCUUCAUGCCACUAUCUCCUGUCCUGGGUGCUUCCUGGCCACUGAGGGCACUGGGGGCACUGCUCAGCAAUCUCUGCCUUUUGGUAGAUGAGCAUCAACCCAGCUGGAUCAAAGGAAUUGAAAUAUGUGGACAGGUAAUCAAAGCUCAUCAGCUCCCCUUCCUUUGUACUUAGUAGGGAUAGAUGGACAAUCCUGAGGGAAACCCAGAUGUGCUGGAACAGAUGUCCAAGGAAGCAAGGAGACUACCCCACUGGAGCAGCCUGUUUCUGUCUGCAGAAGGAGCCCGGAGACCAAAAUUAAGGCCAAAUGCCUUUUGCACAGCUAAAUGUAGAUUUGAUAAAUUUCAUCCCAAAAUAUAUACCCGCUGUAAAAAUACGCAAGUGUGUUUAUCCCAAUUUAAUUUUAAUAAGCAGUGUUUUGAGGAGUGCUCUCCUGUCCUCUACCUGAGGGACUGGUGAGGAAAGCAAUCUCAUCCUCAGCCGUCUGCUGCAAUGCUAACAGGGGUGGACUGAAACAACUGCCAAAGCUGACACAUCAAAGAUCUUUCUAGCUUUUCACAGCCAUGAGAAAAGACAACCUACUCAGAUGUUUUCCUUAUUUUUUUCCAGAUUUUCCAAGAAUAGCCCCCUUCUCAUUUAAGAAUAAAAGAAAAAAUAUUUUAAUAAAGCUAAUGCCAUUAUUUUUCUAUCAUUCAAGGAGCACUGUGAUACUUCCUAUUAAAAACAUUGACCCACCUGGGGUACCAUUAAUAGUGGAAAAUCAGACAGAGUUAACACUAAAUUGCCAAUGCAUGUAUAGUGUAUAUAUGAAAUUAUAAACUUGAAAAUGGGUGUGCAAAAUACACGUGAAAUUGAUAAAAGGGCAAAAGGUCUCUUACUUCCCAGUCUAGUAGAAAUGAAUAGGCAUGUACAGAACAUUGUUCUCCUCUGCUGGCUUUUAAGGCACAAAAAGCAAUUUGAGAUGUAGUCUUGCUUUAAUGCCAUUUUGAUUCCUGCCACAGUAAUGUCAAUGCCUUCCGUGUAUGUAUGUAGACAUAUACAUAACAUUUCAAUGAAAGAAACUUAGUUCAGUUCUGGUUAAAAAUGUCUUGUUGUGUUGCUAUUAUUAAUGCAAACCCUAAUUUUUUUUUAUAGUUCCAUGAAAAAAAAUGUAUUUCAAGUAUAUUGGUGAAGUUUCCACUCAACCCAUGAUGGCCAAUGCUUGGGGCCAUGUGUGAUGCUAGGCUUUAGGUGCCAGGAGAGUGACUUAGUGCAAUUGAGUUCAAGGAGACUUAAGGUAAUUGGU
Sturnus vulgaris (Common starling) is the source of this 2250-nucleotide non-coding RNA. The record is from RefSeq and is a predicted model, not a curated record. Lineage: Eukaryota; Metazoa; Chordata; Aves; Passeriformes; Sturnidae.